UCCGAUUUGUCACCGGCAGUCCCCCAUGAGUCCCCGUCUUUCACGCUGGCAACAUGGGACAAGGGUUGCGCUCGUUGCGGGACUUAACCCAACAUCUCACGACACGAGCUGACGACAGCCAUGCACCACCUGCGCUGGGCCCCGAAGGACACCACAUCUCUGUGGCUUUUCCCAGCAUGUCAAACCCAGGUAAGGUUCUUCGCGUUGCCUCGAAUUAAGCAACAUGCUCCGCCGCUUGUGCGGGUCCCCGUCAAUUCCUUUGAGUUUUAACCUUGCGGCCGUACUCCCCAGGCGGUCGACUUCACGCGUUAGCUUCGGUACCAAGGAAUCGCUUCCCCAACACCUAGUCGACAUAGUUUAGGGCGUGGACUAC
Molecule: unclassified non-coding RNA, 373 nt
Filed under: uncultured bacterium
Lineage: Bacteria
Description: contains 16S-23S intergenic spacer region
Source: RNAcentral